Myotis daubentonii (Daubenton's bat) is the source of this 379-nucleotide long non-coding RNA. RefSeq lists it as uncharacterized. The record is from RefSeq and is a predicted model, not a curated record. The transcript has 2 exons. Lineage: Eukaryota; Metazoa; Chordata; Mammalia; Chiroptera; Vespertilionidae.
CUGCGGCCCUGGGGGCGGGGAAUGGGGCGACUCCGAAAGACAGGAUCGCACCGCCCCUCGGGGCUUCUCCUGCGCCCAGGAGGCCACAGAAAUUCCCUCUCUAAAGGGAGAUGCUGGUUGGGGAAGGCGAAUGGGGACGACGGUAGGACGUUUUUCAAUCUCCCUUGAGAGGACUACACGGUGCAGCAUGUGCCUGCGGUUUGAUGCCUCCGUGGAUCCGGUGCAGGGGUGAGGGAAGCUUGAUGACACACAGUCCAUUUAGGCUGAAGCUGAAACGCUGGUGUGAAGCUGCCUCUGAGGAGGGGGGUCUUGGCAUAAAUCUGUAAUUAGGUGUCUUGCGUGGGCCAGUGGGUGGUCAUGAUUAAAGGUCUCUGCUGUU